UACAGAGGUCUCAAGCGUUGUUCGGAUUCAUUGGGCGUAAAGGGUGCGUAGGUGGCGCCGUAAGUGGGGUGUGAAAUCCCGGGGCUUAACUCCGGAACUGCAUUCCAUACUGCGGUGCUUGAGGACUGGAGAGGAGACUGGAAUUUACGGUGUAGCAGUGAAAUGCGUAGAGAUCGUAAGGAAGACCAGUGGCGAAGGCGGGUCUCUGGACAGUUCCUGACACUGAGGCACGAAGGCCAGGGGAGCAAACGGG
Molecule: ribosomal RNA, 253 nt
Filed under: uncultured bacterium
Lineage: Bacteria
Description: partial 16S ribosomal RNA
Rfam family: Bacterial small subunit ribosomal RNA
Source: RNAcentral